AACCCAUGGUGUGGGCAUUGGUUUGUGUAGCUCCUGAAUCUCUCAUAUGCUUCACCAAAACUCUCAUUGCUGUGCUGAGUGAAACUAGAGAUUUGAUUCCUCAGUUU
Molecule: small nucleolar RNA, 107 nt
Organism: Eutrema salsugineum
Lineage: Eukaryota; Viridiplantae; Streptophyta; Magnoliopsida; Brassicales; Brassicaceae
Rfam family: Plant small nucleolar RNA R71
About the family: R71 is a member of the C/D box family of snoRNAs containing the C (UGAUGA) and D (CUGA) box motifs. Multiple nearly identical copies of this snoRNA have been identified in Arabidopsis, and it is thought to function as a 2'-O-ribose methylation guide for 18S ribosomal RNA.
Source: Rfam